UUAUCAUAACUCAGUACCACAUACCACAUGGUAAAGAAUAUCAAACUCCCAACCCAACCACAUAAGUGUUUCAGGGUAUACACUAUGCCAAUAUAUAAAAACACUCUUCAACAACAUGAAAUAUAUAUAAGCAGUACAAUAAGAGCUUUAGCAGUUAGGCUUAAGGAACAUAAAAAUGAUAUACAGGCAGCCAGAUUAACAAAUUGCAUUACCAAAGAAAGUCUACAAAUAUGACAUAAACAUCUUCUGGGAUCAAGCCAAAGUUGGAAACUAGUUAACAACAUAACACAAAUCAGAAUAACAGAGGCCAUAGUUAUCAGUUGCUACAGAAACAAAAAAUUUUUCAUACUUAAUGAUAAUCUUCCAUAUAACGUAUUGGUG
Molecule: long non-coding RNA, 381 nt
Filed under: Androctonus crassicauda
Lineage: Eukaryota; Metazoa; Arthropoda; Arachnida; Scorpiones; Buthidae
Source: RNAcentral